AAGUCGGGAUAUUUUCGUCACUCUGCUCACUUUGUACUUUCUGAAGCGUCUUUUCCCUUCGCACUCUCCUCGAUACGCGCCUUUUUCAUGGACGUGGAAGACAAACCGGCUCUUGCUUCUGCUGCUGUCAGUUGUUUCUCCAGAUGUGUAACACCUGCUUUUGGAUGGAUAUCCGAUUAGGGGUGACCGCCAAUAAUAUCUGCAACAGCUUCUGUUCUGCUUGGGUUUUCUUUUCGUUUUUCCGCUUCUUGGCUUACUACUCUCUUCCUUUUGGUCUCUCUGCUUGCUGGCUGGAACAAAAUUGUUGACGUUUCUCUUACGUUCAAUACAACCAACAUACUUGUAGAAGAAGUUCAGCACUGUAAAGGAACAACCAUUACCUCUUGAACAUGUUCGACAGUGUCUUCCUCAUAAACUCUUCAAGAUACAACUGAGAAAAACAUUUUCUAGAACUUCUGAUACGCGGUUGUUCAUUGUGUCCUACUCUGUGAAGGAAGAUUUGUUUCAAUUGCCCGCACCAGUAGCCUUUGAAGAAAUUGGAGAGAGCAGUAACACUAAA
Long non-coding RNA from Nicotiana tabacum (common tobacco), 559 nucleotides. RefSeq lists it as uncharacterized. Lineage: Eukaryota; Viridiplantae; Streptophyta; Magnoliopsida; Solanales; Solanaceae. The record is from RefSeq and is a predicted model, not a curated record.